This 867-nucleotide ribosomal RNA is filed under the name Microbacterium sp. ER-83. RNAcentral describes it as "bacterial SSU rRNA". It matches the Rfam family "Bacterial small subunit ribosomal RNA", at positions 56 to 934 of the family's 1533-position model. The record is from RNAcentral. Lineage: Bacteria; Bacillati; Actinomycetota; Actinomycetes; Micrococcales; Microbacteriaceae.
UGCAAGUCGAACGGUGAAGGAGAGCUUGCUCUCUGGAUCAGUGGCGAACGGGUGAGUAACACGUGAGCAAUCUGCCCCUGACUCUGGGAUAACAGUUGGAAACAGCUGCUAAUACCGGAUACGAGCUUCGAAGGCAUCUUCAGAAGCUGGAAAGAACUUCGGUCAGGGAUGAGCUCGCGGCCUAUCAGCUAGUUGGUGAGGUAAUGGCUCACCAAGGCGUCGACGGGUAGCCGGCCUGAGAGGGUGACCGGCCACACUGGGACUGAGACACGGCCCAGACUCCUACGGGAGGCAGCAGUGGGGAAUAUUGCACAAUGGGCGCAAGCCUGAUGCAGCAACGCCGCGUGAGGGACGACGGCCUUCGGGUUGUAAACCUCUUUUAGCAGGGAAGAAGCGAAAGUGACGGUACCUGCAGAAAAAGCGCCGGCUAACUACGUGCCAGCAGCCGCGGUAAUACGUAGGGCGCAAGCGUUAUCCGGAAUUAUUGGGCGUAAAGAGCUCGUAGGCGGUUUGUCGCGUCUGCUGUGAAAACUGGAGGCUCAACCUCCAGCCUGCAGUGGGUACGGGCAGACUAGAGUGCGGUAGGGGAGAUUGGAAUUCCUGGUGUAGCGGUGGAAUGCGCAGAUAUCAGGAGGAACACCGAUGGCGAAGGCAGAUCUCUGGGCCGUAACUGACGCUGAGGAGCGAAAGGGUGGGGAGCAAACAGGCUUAGAUACCCUGGUAGUCCACCCCGUAAACGUUGGGAACUAGUUGUGGGGUCCAUUCCACGGAUUCCGUGACGCAGCUAACGCAUUAAGUUCCCCGCCUGGGGAGUACGGCCGCAAGGCUAAAACUCAAAGGAAUUGACGGGGACCCGCACAAGCGGCG